AAGAUGGAGUCUAGGGAACAGUCGAGAGUCACGCAAAUGUUAGAGGUGCCCUUGGCCUCAUGAGUGGUCGGUAGAAGGCGGCUGCAAGGAGCCUUUGAAAUGGUGCCGAGUUCUUCCUCUGCCAGAAAGCCUUUCCUCCGCGCUGACUGUGUCAAAGGCUACUCCCAGAGCACUCCAAUCAUUGUUCAAUGGAAGACUUAAAAGAAGCCCUGUGACUCGGGCUCAAAUCUGAAUAAGAUAGUUUCGAAGGAGAAGGAAGAGAAGUUAGAUAAAGAUGAGAAUUCAGAGGCGGAGAAGUAAGAUGAUCAACAGUUGCCUGCCUUGGACUUUGGAGUUCCCAAGAACUAGAAAAUCCAGGUCAGGAACUGUAUCUUUGCUCAGCCACCUGCAAACAGACUUGAGAACAAUGUAAACCACCCUCUGCAGGAUAUUGAUUCUGAUGGAGUAAAUGUUGAUUAAGCAGAAUGGUGUUUUUUUUUUUAACUGGAGGAAUUCCAGAUCUUUCCUUAGGCCUGUCUCUCCAGGGAAAUGAGCUCUAGCCUUAAAAAUCUACAGAAAACCUGAGUAAGAAUGAAGAUUUAUGAUGGGAGACGCUGGGCGGAAGACGGCUGGCUAUCUGGUGGGCUAUCUAGAAGCUCAUCUUUGUGUUAUUAGAGAAACACUCCCGCUCUUGACAGGAUAUGGUCUGCUUAUCACAUAAUCUUCUCAAGUUUCAUUCCCAUUCUGCUUACAAAUGCCCCAAAUAUAAAGAGAUGCAUUUCAUCAAGACAGCCUUUUAAGAGGCAGUUGAUCCCAGCUGUUGCCGUCUAUCUUAAACACCUACCUUUUCACCCUAGUGUGGAGUUUACAUGUCGAUAAGCGAUGUAAAAAAGGGAACUUGAGAAAUCUCAGCAGAGGAAAAACACCGAGCCUGUCUCUGG
Molecule: long non-coding RNA, 920 nt
Filed under: Homo sapiens (human)
Lineage: Eukaryota; Metazoa; Chordata; Mammalia; Primates; Hominidae
Description: HSALNT0347945
Source: RNAcentral